CAAAAAUGAUAGCCCAAAUCCACGAUUAUUACAGAUUUUGGCAAAUUUUGCGUAUUUAUCCCAAAUACUUAAAGAUUGACAUAGAUAUAAGAAGAUGUGGUAUGAGUGCCAAAGAGUUAAACUCUCAUCCAAGUCACAAGUUGUAAAAAGUAAUCCAUUAUAGGUCAAAGUACAGCCUUCAACACAGAGCCUUGGCUCAACCAAACAGCAAGCUACAUGUAUAAAUGGCCCAACAAUGACUAGUAUGAAAACAUUCAAACAGGAAAACCAACGGUCAAAUCUAUGAGAAAAAAUGAAUACUUAUGUACCACAUCAAGAAAACGUCUACCACUGAAAAAACAGGUUACAGACUUAGGACAGGUGCAAACAAAUUUAUACAUUGUUUUUAACCAAAUCCAUAUGCCUUGCCAGUAUGAUUUAUGGUGAAUCAUCAGUAUAGAUUUCCUUUAAUAGCAUUUCCUUAAUACAUUAUCAAAAUAUAGUUAUUACCAUGUCUUUUUCAAAAAUAUAAUAGAAAGUAUGGG
Molecule: long non-coding RNA, 524 nt
Filed under: Mytilus galloprovincialis (Mediterranean mussel)
Lineage: Eukaryota; Metazoa; Mollusca; Bivalvia; Mytilida; Mytilidae
Source: RNAcentral